UGGUGGUGCCCCAUUCAAGAGCUUCCACACAUUUCUUCACUCGUUUUCAGACCCUGUGAGGCCACAUCAAGCAGUUGUUCAUCACAACCGUCCAACUAUGUUGCCCGGUCUCUGUGACCACGAUCGCUCAAAUGGGAUCAGAGGCCAUAAUACGUGUAAGCCCUCUUGAUAUUGAGGAUCGAAAUCAGGCUCCCAGGAGACCAGCAGCGCAUCAAUGUCCUCUGCCCACCAGCUCGGAGUUUCUGUUUCGGGCAUAAUGAAAACGACCUGCAAGGAGAAUUUAAUCACCUUCAGUUGAUGCUACCUGAAGGAUGUGGUUCAAGCAUAGGGUGUCGUGAGCAGGAAAACCCUCAAGCAGGUCAGCCGAUCAGCAGCCUCUACACCCCAAAAAGCUACUGUUUCUCACAAUUAGAGAGGCAGCUUCCGGGAGCGGAUUCAAGAGAGACUCAAGUUCCAGUGAGGACUACUCAAGUGACAGCCACUCUGACAGUGAUGAGGAGCAAGAACAGUGGAUGGAGAAAACAGCAGAUUUGGGAAGGCCUCAUUGCCAGGUGAAUGUACUGCCAUGGCUGCCUACAUGAACGUUGAGGCUGGCUAGCGUCAUGGUGCGAGUGGACUGACCGAUGAAAUUUCCAACGUGAAAAAGCAGGCUAUGUCAUAAGUAGCACAGACCUCCUCAAAUGGAAGCUGUGGGUAUGCCCCAGGAG
Acanthaster planci (crown-of-thorns starfish) is the source of this 707-nucleotide long non-coding RNA. Lineage: Eukaryota; Metazoa; Echinodermata; Asteroidea; Valvatida; Acanthasteridae. The record is from RefSeq and is a predicted model, not a curated record.